RNAcentral lists this ribosomal RNA (877 nucleotides) under uncultured Nitrososphaerota archaeon. RNAcentral describes it as "bacterial SSU rRNA". It matches the Rfam family "Archaeal small subunit ribosomal RNA", at positions 1 to 884 of the family's 1478-position model. Lineage: Archaea; Thermoproteati; Nitrososphaerota. The record is from RNAcentral.
UUCCGGUUGAUCCUGCCGGACCUGACUGCUAUCGGAUUGAUACUAAGCCAUGCGAGUCAUUGUAGCAAUACAAGGCAUACGGCUCAGUAACGCGUAGUCAACCUACCCUAUGGACGGAAAUAACCUCGGGAAACUGAGAAUAAUAUCCGAUAGAACAUUAUGCCUGGAAUGGUUUAUGUUCCAAAUGAUUUAUCGCCGUAGGAUGGGACUGCGGCCUAUCAGUUUGUUGGUGAGGUAAUGGCCCACCAAGACUAUUACAGGUACGGGCUCUGAGAGGAGUAGCCCGGAGAUGGGUACUGAGACACGGACCCAGGCCCUAUGGGGCGCAGCAGGCGAGAAAACUUUGCAAUGUGCGAAAGCACGACAAGGUUAAUCCGAGUGAUUUCUGCUAAAAGAAAUCUUUUGUUAGUCCUAGAAACACUAACGAAUAAGGGGUGGGCAAGUUCUGGUGUCAGCCGCCGCGGUAAAACCAGCACCUCAAGUGGUCAGGAUGAUUAUUGGGCCUAAAGCAUCCGUAGCCGGCUCUGUAAGUCCUCGGUUAAAUCUGUACGCUUAACGUACAGGCUGCCGGGAAUACUGCAUAGCUAGGGAGUGAGAGAGGUAGACGGUACUCGGUAGGAAGGGGUAAAAUCCUUUGAUCUAUUGAUGACCACCUGUGGCGAAGGCGGUCUACCAGAACACGUCCGACGGUGAGGGAUGAAAGCUGGGGGAGCAAACCGGAUUAGAUACCCGGGUAGUCCCAGCUGUAAACUAUGCAAACUCAGUGAUGCAUUGGCUUGUGGCCAAUGCAGUGCUGCAGGGAAGCCGUUAAGUUUGCCGCCUGGGAAGUACGUACGCAAGUAUGAAACUUAAAGGAAUUGGCGGGGGAGCACCACAA